This 1388-nucleotide ribosomal RNA is filed under the name uncultured bacterium. RNAcentral describes it as "bacterial SSU rRNA". It matches the Rfam family "Bacterial small subunit ribosomal RNA". The record is from RNAcentral.
AGAGUUUGAUCCUGGCUCAGGAUGAACGCUGGCGGCGUGCUUAACACAUGCAAGUCGAGCGAUGAAGUUUCCUUCGGGAAACAGAUUAGCGGCGGACGGGUGAGUAACACGUGGGUAACCUGCCUCAUAGAGUGGAAUAGCCUUCCGAAAGGAAGAUUAAUACCGCAUAACGUUGAAAGAUGGCAUCAUCAUUCAACCAAAGGAGCAAUCCGCUAUGAGAUGGACCCGCGGCGCAUUAGCUAGUUGGUGGGGUAACGGCCUACCAAGGCGACGAUGCGUAGCCGACCUGAGAGGGUGAUCGGCCACAUUGGGACUGAGACACGGCCCAGACUCCUACGGGAGGCAGCAGUGGGGAAUAUUGUACAAUGGGCGCAAGCCUGAUGCAGCAACGCCGCGUGAGCGAUGAAGGCCUUCGGAUCGUAAAGCUCUGUUGCGAGGGAAAAAGGAAGAGAAGAGGGAAUGAUUCUCUUUUGAUGGUACCUCGCCAGAAAGUCACGGCUAACUACGUGCCAGCAGCCGCGGUAAUACGUAGGUGGCGAGCGUUAUCCGGAAUGAUUGGGCGUAAAGGGUGCGCAGGCGGCAUAUCAAGUCUGAAGUGAAAGGUACGGGCUCAACCUGUACAGGCUUUGGAAACUGGUAUGCUCGAGGACAGGAGAGGGCGGUGGAACUCCACGUGUAGCGGUAAAAUGCGUAGAGAUGUGGAAGAACACCAGUGGCGAAGGCGGCCGCCUGGCCUGUAACUGACGCUCAGGCACGAAAGCGUGGGGAGCAAAUAGGAUUAGAUACCCUAGUAGUCCACGCCCUAAACGAUGAGGAGCAGGUGUCGGGGGUAGUACCUCGGUGCCGAAGCUAACGCAAUGACUCCUCCGCCUGGGGAGUAUGCACGCAAGUGUGAAACUCAAAGGAAUUGACGGGGGCCCGCACAAGCGGUGGAGUAUGUGGUUUAAUUCGAAGCAACGCGAAGAACCUUACCAGGCCUUGACAUCCCGAGCAAAGACAUAGAGAUAUGUUAGAGGUUAUCUCGGUGACAGGUGGUGCAUGGUUGUCGUCAGCUCGUGUCGUGAGAUGUUGGGUUAAGUCCCGCAACGAGCGCAACCCUUACGGUUAGUUGCUACGCAAGAGCACUCUAGCCGGACUGCCGUUGACAAAACGGAGGAAGGUGGGGACGACGUCAAAUCAUCAUGCCCCUUAUGACUUGGGCUACACACGUACUACAAUGGCAGUCAUACAGAGGGAAGCAAUACCGCGAGGUGGAGCAAAUCCCUAAAAGCUGUCCCAGUUCAGAUUGCAGGCUGCAACUCGCCUGCAUGAAGUCGGAAUUGCUAGUAAUCGCAGAUCAGCAUGCUGCGGUGAAUACGUUCCCGGGCCUUGCACACACCGCCCGUCAA